Molecule: ribosomal RNA, 385 nt
Filed under: uncultured bacterium
Lineage: Bacteria
Description: bacterial SSU rRNA
Rfam family: Bacterial small subunit ribosomal RNA
Source: RNAcentral
UGGGGAAUAUUGCACAAUGGGCGCAAGCCUGAUGCAGCCAUGCCGCGUGUGUGAAGAAGGCCUUCGGGUUGUAAAGCACUUUCAGUCGUGAGGAAGGUAGUGUAGUUAAUAGCUGCAUUAUUUGACGUUAGCGACAGAAGAAGCACCGGCUAACUCCGUGCCAGCAGCCGCGGUAAUACGGAGGGUGCGAGCGUUAAUCGGAAUUACUGGGCGUAAAGCGCAUGCAGGUGGUUUGUUAAGUCAGAUGUGAAAGCCCGGGGCUCAACCUCGGAAUUGCAUUUGAAACUGGCAGACUAGAGUACUGUAGAGGGGGGUAGAAUUUCAGGUGUAGCGGUGAAAUGCGUAGAGAUCUGAAGGAAUACCGGUGGCGAAGGCGGCCCCCUGG